Molecule: ribosomal RNA, 1447 nt
Filed under: uncultured organism
Description: SSU rRNA
Rfam family: Bacterial small subunit ribosomal RNA
Source: RNAcentral
AACGCUUGCUACAGGCUUAACACAUGCAAGUCGAGGGGCGUCAGGAAGAAAGCUUGCUUUCUUUGCUGGCGACCGGCGCACGGGUGAGUAACACGUAUCCAACCUGCCCUUUACUCGGGGAUAGCCUUUCGAAAGAAAGAUUAAUACCCGAUAGCAUAAUGAUUCCGCAUGGUUUCAUUAUUAAAGGAUUCCGGUAAAGGAUGGGGAUGCGUUCCAUUAGGUUGUUGGUGAGGUAACGGCCCACCAAGCCUUCGAUGGAUAGGGGUUCUGAGAGGAAGGUCCCCCACAUUGGAACUGAGACACGGUCCAAACUCCUACGGGAGGCAGCAGUGAGGAAUAUUGGUCAAUGGGCGCUAGCCUGAACCAGCCAAGUAGCGUGAAGGAUGAAGGCUCUAUGGGUCGUAAACUUCUUUUAUAUAAGAAUAAAGUGCAGUAUGUAUACUGUUUUGUAUGUAUUAUAUGAAUAAGGAUCGGCUAACUCCGUGCCAGCAGCCGCGGUAAUACGGGGGAUCCGAGCGUUAUCCGGAUUUAUUGGGUUUAAAGGGAGCGUAGGUGGACUGGUAAGUCAGUUGUGAAAGUUUGCGGCUCAACCGUAAAAUUGCAGUUGAUACUGUCAGUCUUGAGUACAGUAGAGGUGGGCGGAAUUCGUGGUGUAGCGGUGAAAUGCUUAGAUAUCACGAAGAACUCCGAUUGCGAAGGCAGCUCACUGGACUGCAACUGACACUGAUGCUCGAAAGUGUGGGUAUCAAACAGGAUUAGAUACCCUGGUAGUCCACACAGUAAACGAUGAAUACUCGCUGUUUGCGAUAUACAGUAAGCGGCCAAGCGAAAGCAUUAAGUAUUCCACCUGGGGAGUACGCCGGCAACGGUGAAACUCAAAGGAAUUGACGGGGGCCCGCACAAGCGGAGGAACAUGUGGUUUAAUUCGAUGAUACGCGAGGAACCUUACCCGGGCUUAAAUUGCAGUGGAAUGAUGUGGAAACAUGUCAGUGAGCAAUCACCGCUGUGAAGGUGCUGCAUGGUUGUCGUCAGCUCGUGCCGUGAGGUGUCGGCUUAAGUGCCAUAACGAGCGCAACCCUUAUCUUUAGUUACUAACAGGUUAUGCUGAGGACUCUAGAGAGACUGCCGUCGUAAGAUGUGAGGAAGGUGGGGAUGACGUCAAAUCAGCACGGCCCUUACGUCCGGGGCUACACACGUGUUACAAUGGGGGGUACAGAAGGCAGCUAGCGGGUGACCGUAUGCUAAUCCCAAAAUCCUCUCUCAGUUCGGAUCGAAGUCUGCAACCCGACUUCGUGAAGCUGGAUUCGCUAGUAAUCGCGCAUCAGCCACGGCGCGGUGAAUACGUUCCCGGGCCUUGUACACACCGCCCGUCAAGCCAUGGGAGCCGGGGGUACCUGAAGUACGUAACCGCAAGGAUCGUCCUAGGGUAAAACUGGUGACUGGGGCU